AAGACCUGUAGAACUUUAACCUACAUCACCUAAUUGCAAAUCAGAUACUUUAAUUGAGCUAAGGCCUC
Molecule: transfer RNA, 68 nt
Filed under: Protoblepharus nyingchiensis
Lineage: Eukaryota; Metazoa; Chordata; Lepidosauria; Squamata; Scincidae
Description: tRNA-Ala
Source: RNAcentral